This 494-nucleotide ribosomal RNA is filed under the name uncultured bacterium. RNAcentral's name for it is "partial 16S ribosomal RNA". It matches the Rfam family "Bacterial small subunit ribosomal RNA", at positions 28 to 507 of the family's 1533-position model. The record is from RNAcentral.
GACGAACGCUGGCGGCGUGCUUAACACAUGCAAGUCGAACGGUGAAGCGCCUUCCUUUUUGGUGGGUGUGGAUGAGUGGCGAACGGGUGAGUAACACGUGAGUAACCUGCCCCCUUCUUCUGGAUAACCGCAUGAAAGUGUGGCUAAUACGGGUUAUUCUGGGUCUGUCGCAUGAUGGGUCUGGGAAAGAUAUUGUUUCGGUGGGGGAUGGGCUCGCGGCCUAUCAGCUUGUUGGUGGGGUGAUGGCCUACCAAGGCGGUGACGGGUAGCCGGCCUGAGAGGGUGGACGGUCACACUGGGACUGAGACACGGCCCAGACUCCUACGGGAGGCAGCAGUGGGGAAUAUUGCACAAUGGGCGCAAGCCUGAUGCAGCGACGCCGCGUGAGGGAUGGAGGCCUGCGGGUUGUGAACCUCUUUCGCCAGUGAAGCAGGCCUGCCUCGUUUGUGGGUGGGUUGACGGUAGCUGGAUAAGAAGCGCCGGCUAACUACGUG